GACGAACGCUGGCGGCGUGCUUAACACAUGCAAGUCGAACGGAAAGGCCCCUUUGGGGGUCCUCGAGUGGCGAACGGGUGAGUAACACGUGAGUAACCUGCCCUUGACUUCGGGAUAACUUCAGGAAACUGGGGCUAAUACCGGAUAGGAAUCCUUGCUGCAUGGUGGGGGUUGGAAAGCUUCGGCGGUUUUGGAUGGACUCACGGCUUAUCAGCUUGUUGGUGGGGUAGUGGCUUACCAAGGCUUUGACGGGUAGCCGGCCUGGGAGGGCGACCGGCCACAUUGGGACUGAGAUACGGCCCAGACUCCUACGGGAGGCAGCAGUGGGGAAUAUUGCACAAUGGGCGGAAGCCUGAUGCAGCAACGCCGCGUGCGGGAUGACGGCCUUCGGGUUGUAAACCGCUUUCAGCAGGGGCGAAGCUUGUGGUGACGGUACCUGCAGAAGAAGCACCGGCUAACUACGUG
This 465-nucleotide ribosomal RNA is filed under the name uncultured bacterium. RNAcentral describes it as "partial 16S ribosomal RNA". It matches the Rfam family "Bacterial small subunit ribosomal RNA", at positions 28 to 507 of the family's 1533-position model. The record is from RNAcentral.